This 468-nucleotide ribosomal RNA is filed under the name uncultured bacterium. RNAcentral describes it as "partial 16S ribosomal RNA". It matches the Rfam family "Bacterial small subunit ribosomal RNA", at positions 28 to 507 of the family's 1533-position model. The record is from RNAcentral.
GACGAACGCUGGCGGCGUGCUUAACACAUGCAAGUCGAACGGAAAGGCCCUGCUUUUGUGGGGUGCUCGAGUGGCGAACGUGUGUGUAACACGUGAGUAUCCUGCCCUUUACUUUGUGAUAACUUCAGGCAACUGGUGCUAAUACCUGCUAGGAGCUCCUGCUGCAUGGUGGUGUUUGGAAAGUUUCGUCUGUUGGGGAUGGACUCGCGGCUUAUUAGCUUGUUGGUGGGGUAGUGGCUUACCAAGGCUUUGAAGGGUAGCCGGCCUGAGAGGGUGACCGGCCACAAUGGGACUGAGAUACGGCCCAGACGCGUACGGGAGGCAGCAGUGGGGAAUAUGACACAAUGGGGGGAAGCCUGAUGCAGAAACGCAGCGAGCGGGAUGAAGGCUUUCGGGUUGUAAACCGCUGUCGCCUGUGACGAAGCGUGAGUGACGGUAAUGGGUAAAGAAGCACCGGCUAACUACGUG